UACGUAGGGCGCGAGCGUUGUCCGGAUUCAUUGGGCGUAAAGAGCUCGUAGGCGGUUCGGUUAGUCAGAUGUGAAAACUCCGGGCUCAACUCGGAGAGGCCAUCUGAUACUGCCGUGACUAGAGUUCGGUAGAGGAGUGUGGAAUUCCCGGUGUAGCGGUGAAAUGCGCAGAUAUCGGGAGGAACACCAGCGGCGAAGGCGGCACUCUGGGCCGACACUGACGCUGAGGAGCGAAAGCGUGGGGAGCGAACAGG
This 254-nucleotide ribosomal RNA is filed under the name uncultured bacterium. RNAcentral describes it as "partial 16S ribosomal RNA". It matches the Rfam family "Bacterial small subunit ribosomal RNA", at positions 524 to 776 of the family's 1533-position model. The record is from RNAcentral.